AGACCGUAAUCGUACCCCCUCCUAACUGCCAAAGUGUCAUGGCCGCCGUCGGGACCUAUUGUGCUGACAUUUACAAUGUUUACAUAUAGAAAAGUUUGUUUUUUUCUGCUUAUAAUGCCGUUUUCUAAAGAUAUUAGUGAACAAAAUCGAUUUGCUAACAAUAUUUAAUAUAUUUUAAAUGUGCUAAAAUUGGAUUCAACAGCAAAAGUCGCAUAAAUAACAUAUAAAUAACGAAUUUGUUUACCUAUUACAAAUGGGGUUAUGUGGUUGUAACUGUUUAUUUUGGGAAUAAAAUGAAAAUGAUCAAUUAAACGACUGGAAAACUAUAGUGAAGUGAAGAACAUCUUGAAGUUCCAAGAUGAGGUAAAUCGAAAUAAUUGUAUGUUAGAAGGACAGAGAAUACGAAGAAAUGUUAUUGCUGCAUAUUUAGUGUAGUGAAAUACAAACUUCAAACAUUAUAAUAUAUUUUUUGAUUUCAAACAUUUCAUAUGAUUAUGAAAGAACAUCUUCCUCUUUAAAACAAUGAAGAAGUGAAGAACAUAAUAAAGUUCCAACGAAAAUGAUUCCAGAUGAGGAAAAUCGAAAUAAUGGUUGUAUUUUACGUGUAUAGAGAAUACGAAGAAAUGUUAUUGCUGCAAACUUAGUGUAGUGAAUUAAAAACUUAUUGUCAAAUACAAAUCAAUUUAUUUCAUACUUUUAUAAUAUAUAGUGAUAUAAUUUUAUGUGUUCAAAUAAAAAUAUUAAUAAAUAAAAUACAAUAAACACAAA
This 768-nucleotide long non-coding RNA is filed under the name Diabrotica virgifera virgifera (western corn rootworm). RNAcentral's name for it is "uncharacterized LOC126884523". Lineage: Eukaryota; Metazoa; Arthropoda; Insecta; Coleoptera; Chrysomelidae. The record is from RNAcentral.